RNAcentral lists this ribosomal RNA (403 nucleotides) under uncultured bacterium. RNAcentral describes it as "partial 16S ribosomal RNA". It matches the Rfam family "Bacterial small subunit ribosomal RNA", at positions 28 to 526 of the family's 1533-position model. The record is from RNAcentral.
GACGAACGCUGGCGGCGUGCCUAAUACAUGCAAGUCGAACGCAGUGGGGACGGGUGAGUAACACGUGGGUAACCUCCCGUCAGAGGGGAUAACCCUUGGCAACAGGUGCUAAACCGCAACUGAUGGAUGGACCCGCGGUGCAUUAGCUGGUUGGUGGGGUAACGGCUCACCAAGGCCACGAUGCAUAGCCGAUCUGAGAGGGUGAUCGGCCACACUGGGACUGAGACCCGGCCCAGACUCCUACGGGAGGCAGCAGUAGGGAAUCUUGGUCAAUGGACGAAAGUCUGACCGAGCAACGCGGCGUGAGUGAAGAAGGUUUUCGGAUCGUAAAACUCUGUUGGUAGAGAAGCGGUAUCUAACCAGAAAGCAACGGCUAACUACGUGCCAGCAGCCGCGGUAAUAC